AAACCUUCUCGGCCUUUUGGCUAAGAUCAAGUGUAGUAUCUGUUCUAGUCCGUGUGAAAACUGGGUUUCAUCAUUUUUGGGGAUCUUUUCACAUUCUUUUUUGGACAUUCUUUGUUUUUCUAGCUUGCUAAGAAUUCAGAGAACGGUCUCCGGGGGUUUCGCCACUACCCCCGCGAGGCCAACUACCU
Molecule: small nuclear RNA, 188 nt
Filed under: Phytophthora megakarya
Lineage: Eukaryota; Oomycota; Peronosporomycetes; Peronosporales; Peronosporaceae
Description: U2 spliceosomal RNA
Rfam family: U2 spliceosomal RNA
About the family: U2 is a small nuclear RNA (snRNA) component of the spliceosome (involved in pre-mRNA splicing). Complementary binding between U2 snRNA (in an area lying towards the 5' end but 3' to hairpin I) and the branchpoint sequence (BPS) of the intron results the bulging out of an unpaired adenosine, on the BPS, which initiates a nucleophilic attack at the intronic 5' splice site, thus starting the first of two transesterification reactions that mediate splicing.
Source: Rfam by way of RNAcentral